Molecule: ribosomal RNA, 441 nt
Filed under: uncultured bacterium
Lineage: Bacteria
Description: bacterial SSU rRNA
Rfam family: Bacterial small subunit ribosomal RNA
Source: RNAcentral
CUACGGGAGGCAGCAGUGGGGAAUAUUGGACAAUGGGCGCAAGCCUGAUCCAGCCAUGCCGCGUGAGUGAUGAAGGCCUUAGGGUUGUAAAGCUCUUUUAGCAGGGACGAUAAUGACGGUACCUGCAGAAAAAGCCCCGGCCAACUUCGUGCCAGCAGCCGCGGUAAUACGAAGGGGGCUAGCGUUGCUCGGAAUCACUGGGCGUAAAGCGCACGUAGGUGGGUCGUUAAGUCGGGGGUGAAAUCCCAGGGCUCAACUCUGGAACUGCCUUCGAUACUGGCGACCUUCGAGUUCGGGAGAGGUGAGUGGAACUGCGUGUGUAGAGGUGGAAUUCGUAGAUAUUCACAAGAAAACCAGUGGCGAAGGAGGCUCACUGGCACAAUACUGACACUGAGGUGCGAAAGCGUGGGGAGCAAACAGGAUUAGAAACCCUGGUAGUCC